UUAGUUAAAACCAAAAUAGAGGUACUUCACUGUUAAUGAAACCAUUGAACACAAGUUCUAACUAGA
Molecule: transfer RNA, 66 nt
Filed under: Palaemon capensis
Lineage: Eukaryota; Metazoa; Arthropoda; Malacostraca; Decapoda; Palaemonidae
Description: tRNA-Asn
Source: RNAcentral